GCGCCCGUAGCUCAAUCGGAUAGAGUACCUGACUUCGGAUCAGGGGGUUGGGGGUUCGAGUCCCUCCGGGCGUA
RNAcentral lists this transfer RNA (74 nucleotides) under Gemmatimonadota bacterium. RNAcentral describes it as "Gemmatimonadetes bacterium (beach sand metagenome) tRNA-Arg". It matches the Rfam family "tRNA". From Rfam's summary of the family: Transfer RNA (tRNA) molecules are approximately 80 nucleotides in length. Their secondary structure includes four short double-helical elements and three loops (D, anti-codon, and T loops). Further hydrogen bonds mediate the characteristic L-shaped molecular structure. tRNAs have two regions of fundamental functional importance: the anti-codon, which is responsible for specific mRNA codon recognition, and the 3' end, to which the tRNAs corresponding amino acid is attached (by aminoacyl-tRNA synthetases). tRNAs cope with the degeneracy of the genetic code in two manners: having more than one tRNA (with a specific anti-codon) for a particular amino acid; and 'wobble' base-pairing, i.e. permitting non-standard base-pairing at the 3rd anti-codon position. Lineage: Bacteria; Pseudomonadati; Gemmatimonadota. RNAcentral also lists the same sequence under 1 other name. The record is from RNAcentral.